This is a long non-coding RNA of Nyctereutes procyonoides (raccoon dog), 4081 nucleotides long. RefSeq lists it as uncharacterized. The transcript has 5 exons. The record is from RefSeq and is a predicted model, not a curated record. Lineage: Eukaryota; Metazoa; Chordata; Mammalia; Carnivora; Canidae.
CUGGAGUGGACUGUGCCUGAGAGGGCAAGGACCGGGCCCUUGGGACACCUGAGUGGAGAGGCCAGGGGGAGCAGAGAAGAGCCCAGAAGGAGGUGAACCGCCCAGAAUGGGGAGGCCAGUAGCAUAAAGGCGUGACGUGCAUUCAGUAGAAACUGUACUUUGAAUUUUGAACUUUUCAAGACUAGCAACACGUGGGACGAUCCUCUUCCAUGAUGCUGGGCGGCAGCCGUAGCUCCCAGGGACCCAUGUGAUCAUCAAGGUCAACAACCGAUGUGCUUACAACCACUGUGUACCUAUACAACCAUUCUGUUUUUCACUUUUAGUACAGCAUUUAAAAAAUUGCAUGAAAUCGUGGACACUAAGACGACACUUAGUUUGACACUAAAAUAGUGUCAAACACAAAACUUUGUGUUUGAUGAUUUUGCGCACAGAGUAUCCUGAGCACUUUUAAGUGCUCUGGGGCACUUUGACCAGAUCAUCACAGAAACCUAAAAUACGAAGAGGCAAAGAGCUACUUCUUGAAAGCAUUACCCACUUCGCUGUACAGAAAGUCACACAUAACCCACUUUAGAGAAGACUGUACAUCGCCUCGAAAUAACUCCAGAAGAUGAAAGACCCAACAGUCAAAGGAAUGUUGAAAGAGAAAGCCAAAGCUGAUGAGCAUCACAAUUCUGGACUUCCCUCACAUUCUCAAUGAGCAGAUGGCAAAAGUACCAUUAGCAACACAGGCAAGUCUGUGACCUAAAGGAUCUUCAGGGCAAGUCUAGAUCUAAGUGUAACCCCGAAGCACACCAAGUCUUCCUUGAGUCACCUUGUCAGUGGACCCUGGCUGUGGUCAGCAGAAUCAUGGCCCCCCAGAGAUGUCUACAUCCCAAUCCCCAAAACCCAUGACCUUACAUGGUAAAAGGCACUUCGGAGAUGUGAUCAAGUUAAGGGCCUUGAGAUGGGGAGAUUAUCCUGGAUUAUCUGGAUGGACAAUGUAAUCAUGAGAGAGAAGCGGACAGGUCAGGAUCAGAGAUACGAGGACAGAGCUAAAGACCAGACUGAUGUGGGGCCAUAAGCCAAAGAACGCGGGCAGCUUUUAGGAGCCAGAAAAGGCAAAAAAAAAAAAAAAAAAAAAAAAAAAUUCUCCCCUAGAUCGCCCAGAAGGAAGCAGCCCUGCUGACCUGUCUUGGACUUGCGAUCUGUAGAACUGUAAGGUCAUAAACUUCAGUUGCCACCAGCCGCUACCUUUAUGGUAAUUUGUUACAGUGACAACAGGAAGAUAAUACACUGGUUUGUUCACAAAGCGGCCAAUCCUGGCGGCCUGGGCUCCUGACGGCUGCCCGCAGACCCCUCCAGCAUCUGCUUCCCAUAGCCUCAGCAGGAGCGGCCAGCUUCUGGUGCCAGCCCCGCGGGAGCACAGAGCACGCCUGGGCCACUGACAGCACGGGGACGGGCGCAGGUAUCCCUCCUAAGGUGAGCUCACCAGCUGCCAGAGGUCGCAGGCAGCCAGCAGGGCACCUAGAUUCCAGGGCCUGAAUCACUACAGAACCGCCCGCUCCCACCUCUCCAUUUAGUGUGUCUCCAAGCUAAUUUGUAAACAAGGUUCUAGGAAUCAAUACUGUUAUUCUUUGUAAAAACAAAAUUUUGGUCACGGUGCCGUGUGAGAACAGCUGCCAGAACUCACCCAGCCUGGAGGCUUGGCUCGAGACAGUCUCUGAUCUAAAACGUGAGCAACAUAGAAAAGACAAACUUUACUUUGAAACUGGGGGACUCCAAAGAGAUACACCUUUUUCCACUAGAGUGGCUGAACCUGGGCCAAGGGGGUGCCCAGAGGGCCCACGGACAGGCGGCAAGUACGAACCCAGCCCCAUCGGGUGGGCACUUUGAGGAGCCACCGUGGAGUUACAGACUCAUUCCCGCCGGCAGAUGGGUUGUCGUCUGACCUUUCACCUUCCUGUUUCAGAUUGAAGGUUAGUGUCAACCCUGCAUCAAACAAGUCUACCGAUACUAUUUUCCAACAGAAUUUGUUUACUUUAUGUCUACGUCUCACAUUUUGGCGACUCUUGUAAGAUUUCGAACUUUGUCAUUAUGUGUGUGAUGAGGAUCUAUGCUCAGUGAUCUUUGAUGUUAUAUAGUAAUUGUUUGGGGGCACCACAAACCACACCCAUAUAAGACGGAGAACGUAAUGGAUAAAUGUUGUAUGGUUCCUGCCUACUUCAUUCCAUCUCUCCCCCUCUCCUCCGGCCUUCCUAUUCCCCAAGACACAACACCAAUGAAUCAACGUGCAAGUGAAAGAAAGAGUUGCACAUCUCUCACUUUAAAUCAAAAGCUAGAAAUGAUUAGGCUUAGUGAGGAGGGCAUGUUGAAAGUCAAGAGGCCUCUUGUGGCAAACAGCCAAGUUGUGAAAGCAAAGGAAAAAUUUUUGAAGAAAAUUAGAAGUGCUGCUCCAGUGAACACAUGAAUGGUAAGAAUGUGAAAUAGCCCAAUUGCUGAUAUGGAGAAAGUUUUAGUGGUCUGGAGAGAGGAUCAAACCAGCCACAGCAGUCCCUUAAACCAAAGCCUCACCCAGACCAAGUCCCUAACUCUCGUCAAUUCUGUGAAGGCUGAGAGAGGGGAAGAAGCUGCAGGAGGAAAGUCUGAAGCUAGCGGAGGUUGGUUCAUGAAGUUUACGGCAAGACGCCAUCUCCAUGACCUCAAGUGCAGCGUGGAAGCUGCAGCGAACUAUCCGGAAGAUCCAACUAAGGUCAUUUAUGAAGUUGGCUGCACCAAAUGACGUAUUUUUAUCGUAGACAAAAUAAGCUUCUACUGGAAGAAGAUGCCAUCUAGGACCUUCACUGCUAGACAGGAGAAGCCAAUGGAGCUUUCAAAGCUUCAUAGACAGGCUGGUGCUCUCCUUGGGGGCUAACACAGCUGGUGGCUUGAAGUUGAAGCCAAUACUCACUUGCCAUUCCAGAAUCAUGCUAAGUCCACUCUGUGCUCUAUAAACGGAACUUCAAAGCUUGGAUGAUGGCACAUCUGUUGAAAAUACAGUUAACUGAAUAUUUAAAGCCCACUAUUGAGACUUAAUGCUCCAAAAAAAUGAUUCCUUUCAAAAUAUUCCUGCUUAUUGACAAUGUACCUGGCCACCCAAGAGCUCCAACAGAGAGGUACAAUAAGACUAUUAUUGUCUCCACACCUGCUAACAACAUCCAUUCUGAAGCCUAUACAUCAAGGAGUCAUUUCAAUUUUCAAGUCUUAGUUUUUAGAAAUACCUUUUGUAAGGCUAGAGCUGCCAUAGACAAUUAUUUCUCUGAUGCAUCUGGGUGAAGUCAAUGGAAAACCUUCUCUUUUUAUUUAUUCAUGAGAGACACACAGAGAGAGGCAGAGACACAGGCAGAGGGAGAAGCAGGCUCCAUGCAGGGAGCCUGAUGUGAGACUCAAUCCCAGGACCCUGGGAUUAUGCCCUGAGCCAAAGGCAGAUGCUCAACCGCUGAGCCACUCAGGAGUCCCAGUGGAAAACCUGGACCAGAUUCACAACAUUCAUGAUUCACAGAAGGUCAAAAUAUGAACAUGCACAGGAGUUUGGAAGAAGUUGAUUCCCACCCCCAUGGAUGACGUUGAGGGCUUCAGGAUACCAGUGGAGGACGGAACUGCAGAUGUGGAAACAGCAAGAGAACUAGAGUUAGAAGUGCAGCCUGAAGAUGGGACUGAACUGCUGCCGUCUGACGAUAAAAGCGAAAAGAAUGUGGAGUUGCUUCUUACAGAGGAGCCAAGGAAGUGGAUUCCGGACGUGGCACCUACUCUCAGGGAAGAUGCUGUGAAGACUGCUGAAAUGACAACAAAGGGUUAGAAUAUGACAUGACUUGCUUGAUCAAGCAGCAGCAGGGUUUGAGAGGAUAGACUCCAAUUCUAUCAAACAGCAUCACACGCUACAGAGAAAUUGCUCAUGAAAGCAAGAAUCAAUCAAUGCAGCAAGUUUCAUUAUCUUAAGGUACAGCUGCAGCCACCCCAACCUUCAGCAACCACCACCCUGACCCAGCAACUGCCAUCAGGAAGGAGGCAAGACCCUACACCAGCAAAAAGAUUACUCACUAAAAGCCCAGAUGAUGGUUAGCAG